GUAGGGAAUAUUGGGCAAUGGUCGGAAGACUGACCCAGCCAUGCCGCGUGCAGGAAGACGGCCCUCUGGGUUGUAAACUGCUUUUAUCUGGGAAGAAAAAGGCCAUGCGUGGCAAAUUGCCGGUACCAGAUGAAUAAGCACCGGCUAACUCCGUGCCAGCAGCCGCGGUAAUACGGAGGGUGCGAGCGUUGUCCGGAUUUAUUGGGUUUAAAGGGUGCGUAGGCGGCUGAUUAAGUCAGCGGUGAAAGACUUCGGCUUAACCGGAGCAGUGCCGUUGAUACUGGUUGGAUUGAGUGUCGGAGGGGUACAUGGAAUUGAUGGUGUAGCGGUGAAAUGCAUAGAUACCAUCAGGAACACCGAUAGCGAAGGCAUUGUACUGGCCGACAACUGACGCUGAUGCACGAAAGUGUGGGGAUCGAACAGGAUUAGAUACCCCAGUAGUCC
RNAcentral lists this ribosomal RNA (444 nucleotides) under uncultured bacterium. RNAcentral's name for it is "partial 16S ribosomal RNA". It matches the Rfam family "Bacterial small subunit ribosomal RNA", at positions 354 to 796 of the family's 1533-position model. The record is from RNAcentral.